GACGGAGGAGGCAAGCGUUAUCCGGAAUUAUUGGGCGUAAAGCGUCCGCAGGCGGCUUUUAAGUCUGUUGUCAAAGCCCACAGCUCAACUGUGGAUCGGCAAUGGAAACUGGGAAGCUAGAGUGUGGUAGGGGUAGAGGGAAUUCCCGGUGUAGCGGUGAAAUGCGUAGAUAUCGGGAAGAACACCAGUGGCGAAGGCGGUUCUCUGGGACGGUACUGACGCUGAGACGCGAAAGCGUGGGGAGCGAACAGG
This 252-nucleotide ribosomal RNA is filed under the name uncultured bacterium. RNAcentral describes it as "partial 16S ribosomal RNA". It matches the Rfam family "Bacterial small subunit ribosomal RNA", at positions 524 to 776 of the family's 1533-position model. The record is from RNAcentral.